AGACACGUAUAGGGUCUGACGCCUGCCCGGUGCUGGAAGGUUAAGAGGAGGGGUGCAAGCUCUGAUCGAAGCCCCAGUAAACGGCGGCCGUAACUAUAACGGUCCUAAGGUAGCGAAAUUCCUUGUCGGGUAAGUUCCGACCUGCACGAAUGGCGUAACGAUUCCCGCUGUCUCCAACAUAGACUCAGUGAAAUUGAAUUCCCCGUGAAGAUGCGGGUCCUGCGUCAGACGGAAAGACCCGUCCACCUUUACUAUAGCUUUACACUGGCAUUCGUGUCGGCAUGUGUAGGAUAGGUG
Molecule: ribosomal RNA, 297 nt
Filed under: Ensifer meliloti
Lineage: Bacteria; Pseudomonadati; Pseudomonadota; Alphaproteobacteria; Hyphomicrobiales; Rhizobiaceae
Description: Sinorhizobium meliloti partial 23S ribosomal RNA
Rfam family: Bacterial large subunit ribosomal RNA
Source: RNAcentral